Molecule: ribosomal RNA, 357 nt
Filed under: uncultured soil bacterium
Lineage: Bacteria
Description: bacterial SSU rRNA
Rfam family: Bacterial small subunit ribosomal RNA
Source: RNAcentral
AGAUUGAACGCUGGCGGCAUGCCUUACACAUGCAAGUCGAACGGCAGCACGGGAGCAAUCCUGGUGGCGAGUGGCGAACGGGUGAGUAAUACAUCGGAACGUGCCCAAUCGUGGGGGAUAACGCAGCGAAAGCUGUGCUAAUACCGCAUAAGAUCUACGGAUGAAAGCAGGGGAUCGCAAGACCUUGCGCGAAUGGAGCGGCCGAUGGCAGAUUAGGUAGUUGGUGAGGUAAAGGCUCACCAAGCCUUCGAUCUGUAGCUGGUCUGAGAGGACGACCAGCCACACUGGGACUGAGACACGGCCCAGACUCCGUACGGGAGCAGCAGGUGGGGUAUUUGGACAGUGGGACGUAAAGCC